This 651-nucleotide ribosomal RNA is filed under the name Vibrio vulnificus. Its description in RNAcentral is "bacterial SSU rRNA". It matches the Rfam family "Bacterial small subunit ribosomal RNA", at positions 31 to 670 of the family's 1533-position model. The record is from RNAcentral. Lineage: Bacteria; Pseudomonadati; Pseudomonadota; Gammaproteobacteria; Vibrionales; Vibrionaceae.
GAACGCUGGCGGCAGGCCUAACACAUGCAAGUCGAGCGGCAGCACAGGAGGAACUUGUUCCUUGGGUGGCGAGCGGCGGACGGGUGAGUAAUGCCUGGGAAAUUGCCCUGAUGUGGGGGAUAACCAUUGGAAACGAUGGCUAAUACCGCAUGAUGCCUACGGGCCAAAGAGGGGGACCUUCGGGCCUCUCGCGUCAGGAUAUGCCCAGGUGGGAUUAGCUAGUUGGUGAGGUAAUGGCUCACCAAGGCGACGAUCCCUAGCUGGUCUGAGAGGAUGAUCAGCCACACUGGAACUGAGACACGGUCCAGACUCCUACGGGAGGCAGCAGUGGGGAAUAUUGCACAAUGGGCGCAAGCCUGAUGCAGCCAUGCCGCGUGUAUGAAGAAGGCCUUCGGGUUGUAAAGUACUUUCAGUCGUGAGGAAGGUUGUAGUGUGAAUAGCACUAUGAUUUGACGUUAGCGACAGAAGAAGCACCGGCUAACUCCGUGCCAGCAGCCGCGGUAAUACGGAGGGUGCGAGCGUUAAUCGGAAUUACUGGGCGUAAAGCGCAUGCAGGUGGUUUGUUAAGUCAGAUGUGAAAGCCCUGGGCUCAACCUAGGAGUUGCAUUUGAAACUGACAGGCUAGAGUACUGUAGAGGGGGGUAGAAUUUC